GCAUAUCAAUAAGCGGAGGAAAAGAAACCAACAGGGAUUGCCCCAGUAACGGCGAGUGAAGCGGCAAGAGCUCAAAUUUGAAAGCUGGCUCCUUCGGGGUCCGCAUUGUAAUUUGCAGAGGAUGCUUCGGGAGCGGUCCCCAUCUAAGUGCCCUGGAACGGGACGUCAUAGAGGGUGAGAAUCCCGUAUGGGAUGGGGUGUCCGCGCCCGUGUGAAGCUCCUUCGACGAGUCGAGUUGUUUGGGAAUGCAGCUCUAAAUGGGUGGUAAAUUUCAUCUAAAGCUAAAUAUUGGCCGGAGACCGAUAGCGCACAAGUAGAGUGAUCGAAAGAUGAAAAGCACUUUGAAAAGAGAGUUAAAAAGCACGUGAAAUUGUUGAAAGGGAAGCGCUUGCGACCAGACUCGCUCGCGGGGUUCAGCCGGCAUUCGUGCCGGUGUAUUUCCCCGCGGGCGGGCCAGCGUCGGUUUGGGCGGUCGGUCAAAGGCCCUCGGAAGGUAACGCCCCUAGGGGCGUCUUAUAGCCGAGGGUGCAAUGCGACCUGCCUAGACCGAGGAACGCGCUUCGGCUCGGACGCUGGCAUAAUGGUCGUAAGCGACCCGUCUUGAAACACGGACC
This 614-nucleotide ribosomal RNA is filed under the name Penicillium camemberti. RNAcentral's name for it is "eukaryotic LSU rRNA". It matches the Rfam family "Eukaryotic large subunit ribosomal RNA", at positions 38 to 667 of the family's 3401-position model. Lineage: Eukaryota; Fungi; Ascomycota; Eurotiomycetes; Eurotiales; Aspergillaceae. The record is from RNAcentral. RNAcentral also lists the same sequence under 4 other names.